GGGGCAGCAGUGGGGAAUUUUGGACAAUGGGCGAAAGCCUGAUCCAGCAAUGCCGCGUGUGUGAAGAAGGCCUUCGGGUUGUAAAGCACUUUUGUCCGGAAAGAAAUGGCUCUGGUUAAUACCUGGGGUCGAUGACGGUACCGGAAGAAUAAGGACCGGCUAACUACGUGCCAGCAGCCGCGGUAAUACGUAGGGUCCAAGCGUUAAUCGGAAUUACUGGGCGUAAAGCGUGCGCAGGCGGUUGUGCAAGACCGAUGUGAAAUCCCCGAGCUUAACUUGGGAAUUGCAUUGGUGACUGCACGGCUAGAGUGUGUCAGAGGGGGGUAGAAUUCCACGUGUAGCAGUGAAAUGCGUAGAGAUGUGGAGGAAUACCGAUGGCGAAGGCAGCCCCCUGGGAUAACACUGACGCUCAUGCACGAAAGCGUGGGGAGCAAACAGGAUUAGAUACCCUGGUAGUCCACGCCCUAAACGAUGUCAACUAGUUGUUGGGGAUUCAUUUCCUUAGUAACGUAGCUAACGCGUGAAGUUGACCGCCUGGGGAGUACGGUCGCAAGAUUAAAACUCAAAUUUUGGGGCGCGGGGG
RNAcentral lists this ribosomal RNA (583 nucleotides) under uncultured Ralstonia sp. Its description in RNAcentral is "bacterial SSU rRNA". It matches the Rfam family "Bacterial small subunit ribosomal RNA", at positions 345 to 921 of the family's 1533-position model. Lineage: Bacteria; Pseudomonadati; Pseudomonadota; Betaproteobacteria; Burkholderiales; Burkholderiaceae. The record is from RNAcentral.